UGGGGAAUAUUGGACAAUGGGCGAAAGCCUGAUCCAGCAAUGCCGCGUGAGUGAUGAAGGCCUUAGGGUUGUAAAGCUCUUUUACCCGGGAUGAUAAUGACAGUACCGGGAGAAUAAGCUCCGGCUAACUCCGUGCCAGCAGCCGCGGUAAUACGGAGGGAGCUAGCGUUGUUCGGAAUUACUGGGCGUAAAGCGCACGUAGGCGGCCAUUCAAGUCAGAGGUGAAAGCCCAGGGCUCAACCCUGGAACUGCCUUUGAAACUAGAUGGCUCGAAUCCGGGAGAGGUGAGUGGAAUUCCGAGUGUAGAGGUGAAAUUCGUAGAUAUUCGGAAGAACACCAGUGGCGAAGGCGGCUCACUGGACCGGCAUUGACGCUGAGGUGCGAAAGCGUGGGGAGCAAACA
RNAcentral lists this ribosomal RNA (402 nucleotides) under uncultured Sphingobium sp. RNAcentral describes it as "bacterial SSU rRNA". It matches the Rfam family "Bacterial small subunit ribosomal RNA", at positions 355 to 774 of the family's 1533-position model. Lineage: Bacteria; Pseudomonadati; Pseudomonadota; Alphaproteobacteria; Sphingomonadales; Sphingobiaceae. The record is from RNAcentral.